This 207-nucleotide ribosomal RNA is filed under the name uncultured bacterium. RNAcentral's name for it is "partial 16S ribosomal RNA". It matches the Rfam family "Bacterial small subunit ribosomal RNA", at positions 568 to 774 of the family's 1533-position model. The record is from RNAcentral.
UGCGUAGGCGGUGAUGUUAGUCGGGCGUUAAAUCCUUGGGCUCAACCCAAGGCUCGCGUUCGAAACGGCAUUACUAGAAGAUGUGAGAGGUAAGCAGAACUCUCGGUGUAGGGGUGAAAUCCGUUGAUAUCGAGGGGAAUACCAAAUGCGAAGGCAGCUUACUGGCACAUUCUUGACGCUGAGGCACGAAAGCGUGGGUAGCGAACG